UACGUAGGGGGCUAGCGUUGUCCGGAUUUAUUGGGCGUAAAGAGCGUGUAGGCGGCCAUGUAGGUCCGGUGUGAAAACUCAAGGCUUAACCUCGAGAUGUCAUCGGAAACCAUUUGACUAGAGUCCGGAAGAGGAGAGUGGAAUUCCUGGUGUAGCGGUGAAAUGCGCAGAUAUCAGGAAGAACACCAAUGGCGAAAGCAGCUCUCUGGGACGGUACUGACGCUGAGACGCGAAAGCGUGGGGAGCGAACAGG
This 253-nucleotide ribosomal RNA is filed under the name uncultured bacterium. Its description in RNAcentral is "partial 16S ribosomal RNA". It matches the Rfam family "Bacterial small subunit ribosomal RNA", at positions 524 to 776 of the family's 1533-position model. The record is from RNAcentral.